UGUUGAGGUCUUGUGAUAAGGUUAUGUGUAGAGGUGUUGUAGAGGUGUUGUAGUAAGGUUAUGUGUAGAGGUGUUGUGAUAAGGUUAUGUGUAGAGGUGUUGUAGAGGUGUUGUAGUAAGGUUAUGUGUAGAGGUGUUGUGAUAAGGUUAUGUGUAGAGGUGUUGUAGAGGUGUUGUAGUAAGGUUAUGUGUAGAGGUGUUGUGUAGAGGUGUUGUAGUAAGGUUUUGUGUAGAGGUGUUGUGUAGAGGUGUUGUGUAGAGGUGUUGUAGUAAGGUUAUGUGUUGAAGUGUUGUGAUAAGCUUGAGAGGUUGCUUGAGGAUAUUAAGUGUAGAUUGUAAUAUGUUGUAAUAAGGUUAUAUGACAAAUAAUUGUGUUUAUGUGUUGUUGUAGGUUAUGUGUUGAUGUUAUUAUUCUGAUACUGUUUAAGAACAGUGACAGAAGUAAAUGUGGUAACUAAAGAGGAAUGUAUCUUUUAAGUGUUGUUGGAAAAGUGUUUGCUGAAAUCAUUUUUCAGACACUCUAAAGCCUAGCUGAGAAGAUGUAUCCACAGUCACUUUUUGGGUACUGUAGUAGUCAAAGUACAAUUGAUGGUAUUUUCACACUUCGACGAUUGAUGGAGAAAUCAAGAGAGCAGCGCAUGAAUCUUUAUAUAGCAUUUCUAAAUAAAGACACAUUACUAAAGCAUGUGACACGGUCCAUUGUGACAACCUCUUCAUCGCCCUGAGCAAGCUAG
Long non-coding RNA from Clupea harengus (Atlantic herring), 734 nucleotides. The record is from Ensembl. NCBI's taxonomy places the organism in Eukaryota, Metazoa, Chordata, Actinopteri, Clupeiformes, Clupeidae.